Molecule: ribosomal RNA, 447 nt
Filed under: Berosus pallidipennis
Lineage: Eukaryota; Metazoa; Arthropoda; Insecta; Coleoptera; Hydrophilidae
Description: partial large subunit ribosomal RNA
Rfam family: Bacterial large subunit ribosomal RNA
Source: RNAcentral
AGUUUAUUAUUUAAGGUCUGGCCUGCCCAAUGAUUAAAUUUAAUGGCCGCAGUAUUUUGACUGUGCAAAGGUAGCAUAAUCAUUAGUUUCUUAAUUAGGAACUGGAAUGAAUGGUCGGAUGAGGAAAAAGCUGUCUCAGGUUAAUUUUCAAAGAAUUUUAUUUUUAAGUUAAAAAGCUUAAAUUUUGUUUAAAGACGAGAAGACCCUAUAGAGUUUUAUAAUAAUAAAUUUUUAAUUGUUAAGAAUUUUUUAAUUUUAAAUUAAUUUAUUAUUUUGUUGGGGUGAUGGAAAAAUUAAUUUAACUUUUUUUUUAUUAUACACUAAUUUGUGGGGAGUUGAUCCAUAUAUUUAUGAUUAAUAGAUUAAAUUACCUUAGGGAUAACAGCGUAAUUUUUAUGGAGAGUUCUUAUCGAUAUAAAAGUUUGCGACCUCGAUGUUGGAUUAAAA